RNAcentral lists this long non-coding RNA (513 nucleotides) under Mytilus galloprovincialis (Mediterranean mussel). Lineage: Eukaryota; Metazoa; Mollusca; Bivalvia; Mytilida; Mytilidae. The record is from RNAcentral.
CGAAAUAUUUACGCUUCCAUCUAUUAGCAUAAAAGAUUUUAAAAAGCUAAGGGAUGUUACGGUAUCUGUUCGUGUAAAUUCGACAUGUUCUUUUAAUUUGAGAUAACAUUGGUUUCACAGCGUACUUUUAAAGUGUAGACGUUUAUAAAUACAAGUUCCAUGUAAAUCUAUGUGAUUAACACUCUGCACACACAGAGUGCAACACCUGCAUGCUAUAUGUAUUUCUACUUUUUAACUUGAUAACGAAUUAUACACUUCAAUUCAUGUAGUAAAGGAGUCGAGUUUAAAUCUAAACUUAGUUACGGAAAUACAAUACUUUAAUUCACCAAAGGAUGGUAAUAGACAGAUGCGGCUCAAAUGUAUGAUGGAUAACAUACGAAUGUUUUACUAUGAGUUUUAGAUGAAACAUUGUACAAUUAUUUUAUUUGAACACGCAAAAGGACAAAACUAAUUAUAUAUUUGACAUUUCAAUUUGGACUUAUACAGAUUAGGUUUUACCAGCCAUUGUCAAGC